ACAGUGCACCCAACCCCGGUGCAAACGCGGGCUAGAUGGACACCGCCACCGCCGGGAGUGGCAAAGAUCAGAGUGGACGGGGCAACAACGAGAAACUCCCUGGAGGGUUCUUUCAGUGCUAUAUGCAGAGACGAAACAGGGUUAUUCUUAGGAGCCUCGGUGAUCAAGACACCAAGAGUGGCUGAUCCUGCGACUCUGGAAGCUCUGGCGUGUAGAGAGGCACUCGCCCUUGCGAUGGACUUGCAGAUCUCCAGGGUUCUUAUUGCUUCAGACUGCCAGGGAGUGAUCCGGGAUAUCAAAGAUGCCACAGGAGGGCACUACGCUGCUGUAAUCAAGGAGAUCACUGAGACAGCGAGAGAUUUUGAGCAAUGCACCUUCAUCUUCGAGGGUAGAUCGACAAAUAUUGAGGUACAUAGCCUUGCUAAACAUGCUUUUGGACUGGAUUAUGGACGUCAUUUGUGGCUUAUAAACCCACCAGAUAUCCAUUGUAUUCCUAUGAACUUUUAUGAUUAA
Molecule: ribosomal RNA, 513 nt
Filed under: Triticum aestivum (bread wheat)
Lineage: Eukaryota; Viridiplantae; Streptophyta; Magnoliopsida; Poales; Poaceae
Description: partial small subunit ribosomal RNA
Source: RNAcentral